Caenorhabditis elegans is the source of this 224-nucleotide small nucleolar RNA. NCBI's taxonomy places the organism in Eukaryota, Metazoa, Nematoda, Chromadorea, Rhabditida, Rhabditidae. The record is from Ensembl.
AACAGUGUAAAAGUGCAAGUCAAUCUCCGUCUCUUUUCCGCUCGUAAAAAUAGAAUCUAUCCGCGCGGACGCGGCGCCCGUUCUCCGUCCAUCCGUCUGUCGACUACGUAAUCGCUCAGUGCCUUCGGUUGACUUUCAUUCCUCACGACACUCACCAUACGGCCUUGUCUGACCACCUCUCCAUCGAUUUAUUAGGGAAACAGUGGGCCCAACAUUUGAUUCGA